This 206-nucleotide ribosomal RNA is filed under the name uncultured bacterium. RNAcentral describes it as "partial 16S ribosomal RNA". It matches the Rfam family "Bacterial small subunit ribosomal RNA", at positions 568 to 774 of the family's 1533-position model. The record is from RNAcentral.
CGUCUAGGUGGUUAUAUAAGUCUGAUGUGAAAAUGCAGGGCUCAACUCUGUAUUGCGUUGGAAACUGUAUAACUAGAGUACUGGAGAGGUAAGCGGAACUACAAGUGUAGAGGUGAAAUUCGUAGAUAUUUGUAGGAAUGCCAAUGGGGAAGCCUGCUUACUGGACAGAUACUGACGCUAAAGCGCGAAAGCGUGGGUAGCAAACA